AUUUAUAUAGUUUAAAAAAAACAUUAUAUUUUCAUUAUAAAAAUAAGUUUAAUUUAUAAAUA
RNAcentral lists this transfer RNA (62 nucleotides) under Nephaspis sp. DPP-2018. RNAcentral describes it as "tRNA-Glu". Lineage: Eukaryota; Metazoa; Arthropoda; Insecta; Coleoptera; Coccinellidae. The record is from RNAcentral.